This 496-nucleotide ribosomal RNA is filed under the name uncultured bacterium. RNAcentral describes it as "partial 16S ribosomal RNA". It matches the Rfam family "Bacterial small subunit ribosomal RNA", at positions 29 to 507 of the family's 1533-position model. The record is from RNAcentral.
AUGAACGCUGGCGGCGUGCCUAAUACAUGCAAGUCGAGCGAACAGAUGAGGAGCUUGCUCCUCUGACGUUAGCGGCGGACGGGUGAGUAACACGUGGAUAACCUACCUAUAAGACUGGGAAAACUUCGGGAAACCGGAGCUAAUACCGGAUAAUAUAUUGAACCGCAUGGUUCAAUAGUGAAAGACGGUUUUGCUGUCACUUAUAGAUGGAUCCGCGCCGCAUUAGCUAGUUGGUAAGGUAACGGCUUACCAAGGCAACGAUGCGUAGCCGACCUGAGAGGGUGAUCGGCCACACUGGAACUGAGACACGGUCCAGACUCCUACGGGAGGCAGCAGUAGGGAAUCUUCCGCAAUGGGCGAAAGCUUGACGGAGCAACGCCGCGUGAGUGAUGAAGGUCUUCGGAUCGUAAAACUCUGUUAUUAGGGAAGAACAAAUGUGUAAGUAACUAUGCACGUCUUGACGGUACCUAAUCAGAAAGCCACGGCUAACUACGUG